Molecule: non-coding RNA, 215 nt
Organism: Solanum tuberosum (potato)
Lineage: Eukaryota; Viridiplantae; Streptophyta; Magnoliopsida; Solanales; Solanaceae
Source: RefSeq, marked provisional
UAGUUUUUGGACGACAGGGGCACCAAUGUCCCAAAAGUAUGACGGAGGGUAUCUGCAUACCAUUUACGAUAGUUCGGGGGUAUAUUUAUCCUUUUUCCUAUUAUUAUUUUAUAAAGGGAAAAAGGACAAAUAUACCCUUAAACUAUCAUAAAUGGUAUGUAGAUACCCUCUGUCAUACUUUUGAGACAUUGGUGCCCUGCCGUCCAAAAAAUAGA